This is a long non-coding RNA of Arabidopsis thaliana (thale cress), 510 nucleotides long. RefSeq annotates it as other RNA. The transcript has 2 exons. NCBI's taxonomy places the organism in Eukaryota, Viridiplantae, Streptophyta, Magnoliopsida, Brassicales, Brassicaceae. The record is from RefSeq.
ACUUGGAGGUCAUGCUCUUUUUGUCUUAUAAGUUAGGCUAACAUGGAGAUAUUAAAACUAUGAGCUCUUCUUUAUGUCUUAUAAGCUUAAAAAUAAAAACCUUAGUAAUAAGUUUCGUACUUGUUAAGUAAAACUUUUGUAUUAUGCAAUUGAAUGUCAAUUCCUGGAUCUUGAGCUCAACAUAAAUUUUGUAUUCUUGAAUCUUGAUUGUUUCUCUUUGAAAGGGCGCAUGCGUUGUAGAGAUUAUACAAAUGACUGAUAUAUUGGAGGGCAGUAUCAUUAGAAGUGCUAGAAGAAUCGACGUGUUUUUGAACCAGACUUGUUUGAGUUCAAGUUAAGUGCUUUUGACUUAAUCACUUAACUUAACUGAACUUGUUUAGUUAACGACGUUAACUAAACCAAAAAAAAAAAAAACCUUUUGCACCAUCUAGAAUCUUUGAAGUUAGUAUUUAAGGAAAAAAAAACCUAGACGACUUUAGCAUAAUUUGCUUGACACAAAACUGAUCACAU